This 326-nucleotide long non-coding RNA is filed under the name Elaeis guineensis (African oil palm). RNAcentral describes it as "long non-coding RNA (EGUI_LNC007472)". The record is from RNAcentral. Lineage: Eukaryota; Viridiplantae; Streptophyta; Magnoliopsida; Arecales; Arecaceae.
UUUUUAAUCUUACAUAUCUCAUAUUAAAAAUCUUUAAACACUUAUUUUUCUUUAUUAUAAGAUUUAGUACCUUGUGAAUCCUUUGAUUUUCCAAUUUCUAGCCUUUAUUUUCAAAAACAAAGAUAUUAAGGCAAAAAAUGGCAUUUGGUAACUCAUUUUCUAUUUUUAGUUUCUUCAAAAUCCUUGCUUAAUUUUUAAAUAUUGUGAAAAAAAUUAAUUUUAAAGUAUUUGAGAACCAAAACUAUCCAUGGUAGACCAUCACCUUCACCCUUGUUAGUGCCACCUCCACUAUCUAUCAGCCAUCAUCAGUUGACGCCACCACCAUC